Molecule: long non-coding RNA, 8327 nt
Filed under: Vitis vinifera (wine grape)
Lineage: Eukaryota; Viridiplantae; Streptophyta; Magnoliopsida; Vitales; Vitaceae
Description: long non-coding RNA (VVIN_LNC000122)
Source: RNAcentral
CCUUUAUUUUGUGUUAUGCCGAAAUCGUUGCUUUGUUUAUGUGCAUUUGAGUAGCCAUGAUCUGUAGGUUUAUGUGGAUGUUCUGCCAGUAGACUUUCUUUCUAAAUUCAUGGAAGCAGAGAUUCACAAGCUAUACUCAACAUGGAAAAAGGCCUAGACCUAGAUUCAACUAUAUGUUGCUCACCUAGCCGUUGACAUAAUCCUUGGCAAUCAUUUUUUUCUUCACCAUCUUGAUGAACCUUCUGUUACAACCUCUCUUUAUCUUGUCCUCAAUUGAAUCCACACCAAACUUCCUAUGAUUGCAUUUUCUAUCCCUUCUUACAUUGUUGCUCACCAUCUUAACAUCUACAUCUACAAAUUUAGGGAACAGGGAGGUGAGCAUUUCCACAUUGCUCAAUAGGGUUCCUUGCAUUUCAGGGGUAUAAAAAAUAAAUAAUCAUACCUAAAGAAAUAAAAUGAAAUAACCUAAGCAUGCAUAAAUAAAUAUUUCAGUUUCAAUUUAACAUAUAACAUAUAUAUUAUUGCUAAAAAUGCAAAUGAAAAUGAACACAUGCACUCACACAAUGCACCAUAAUUCUCAAGCUUUCACCAAAUUGUAUGUCUAUAUCCAAAUACACUCCUCACUCAGUCUUCUUGAGGUAAAUUUUUGUGUCUUUCACACCAAAGAUCCCCCUCUUCUUAAUUCACCCUCUAUAGGAUCUUUUCAUUUUCUCAAUUUCUUUUCUUUUCAUUUCCGAUUCACACAAUAUAAUAUUUUACGUUCAACAUUGAAAUCUCAACAAUCAAUUCUACAAUGCCAAUUUAUUUUAUUCACAACAAUUCUAACUCAACAAGUUAUUCCAUAAAAUAGAAUGUUUAUGAACAAAAUCCCAAGACGCUUAUUCUGAAAAUUAGUCUUUGCAACAACUAUAAAAUCACAUUGAUAAAAUCUAAAACAAAACCAACUUAUAUCUUAAAUGGAAGAAUAAGGAGUACAAGAUAAAGGCAAAAAAUAGAAGUUCCCAUAAAACCACCAACACUUCAAGCACAAGCCACUUUACCAAACCCGAAUAUUGGAUAAUUAGUUUCAAAAACAAAGUUCACCGCUAUGUUCCUUGUGUUGAGAUAAGUAUUCUCUCAAAAUUUCACAAGAACCCAAGCAGGAUACACUUUCAAAGUUGUUAGUCUUUCACUUUGAGAAACCCACAUGAUCUUAGCAGCUUAUGCUUUUAUUUAUUUUUUCAAAACCACUUUGCAAAGGAGGAGAUUAUCUCUCUUUGUUGUCUUUCAAAGUUGUUGUCUUUCACUUUGAGAAACCCAUGUGAGCUUAGCAACUUAUGCUCUUAUUUUAUUUUUUCAAAACCACUUUGCAAAGGAGGAGGAGACUAUCUCUCUUUGCCCUCCUCUCUCUCUCUCUCUUCCAAUUAGGUGCAUGUGCCACUCUUAUGCCCAUUACUUCUCUUACUCCAACGAAAAAAAGAACUAAUAUCAUUCAUGAAUGAAUUCAUUAAUCCCACAUGCAAAGUCUCAAUGCCUUAUAUAUUUAAUCUAAAAUUGUGAUGGGGGACUACAUACAUUCCCAAAAGCUUAAGCUAAUGAGGGGUAGAGGUAGCCCCAAAUAUUAGGCCCAACUAACAUUGGUAAUCAGUCAAUGUGGGACAAUGGACUUUUGUUCGUCCUAUGCCAAGUUCCCACCAUUCCCUCCAACCACUUUAAUCUAUACCCUCCAUUUAUAUGCUUCAACAUUACGUACAAAAUCAAAUCCCCAUAAUUUAAUCUCUACUCAUGUAUCAUAUAACUAAUCAGCUUUUAUAAUUUUUCUCAAACUUAAGCUCCACUAUAUCAUUCUCCAAUAACUUCCUUCCACGAUAUCAUCCCACCAUGUGUCCGAUCAAGAUUUUUAGUAUCAAUUCCACAAUUAUAAUCACCUAAGCAAUAUGAAAAUUAGCUAUGAAUUAAGCAUGAAGCACCCAAGUUCAAUUCUUCACAAUUCAAAUCUUAAUUGUUUAAUAUGAUCCCAAUUUAACUUCAGUUAAAUCUCAAUCUUACUUUAGAUGAACGAUAUUGAGUUGAUUAAAUCUCAACUUCAGUAUCCUUGAUUCAUGUGAUGUAACUAAAUUCUCAAGCAAUCGAUUGUAUCAUAAUGACAUGUUGCAAAUUCAACCCAAAUUAGUUGACGAAAAAUCUAGCAAAUCACCCAAUCUGAAGUGGACACAUGUACUCUCACUAUAGUUUUCUCACUCAUUCAAUUGACAGUAAAAUUUUUCAGAUAAUGCAUUAUUCAGAUAUUACAACUAAACCUUCCAAUCAAAGAAUCCUCACCUAGGGUUAUGUAUAUGCAUAUUAUUGAAUUAUUUGUUAUAAGAGGUUACUAGGAGUCGGGGAUGGUUACUAGGAGUCUCUUGCAGGAGUCAAGUCUAAUGAUUUAACCCCCACUUGGAAAGGGUAAGAAAUAGGUAUUCAUUGAUGUACUGUUCCUGUCUUUAGUUUAGGUUUAUUAUGGUAGUUAUAAGUUCUGUAUCUUUAUCAGUUAAUUUGGUAUCAUUUAUUAAUUGCAGAUUUUAAAUUCUUUACUUACUAAAUAGUUUGAUUCAUUUCAGUUGUAAAAUUUUUUAUGAUACCUGACAACUGUUUACUUCAAGAAAUUUGAUAUUUAAAUUUUUCACCCACUAAAAUUCAUUGCUUCUCUUUUGUACUUGAUCUUCAAUUUUUAAACACCUACUAGAUAAUGCUUGGGAACUUCAGUUUCUUGUCAUUUAAAUAGUCCAUGGAAACAAGGUUAUGGGUUUUAGGGUUGUUGUUUUUUAAACCAUAGCAACAUAAUUUUUUUUGCUUUCUCAUAAUCAUGCACACAAGAAUUUCUUUAGUAUGAACAGAGAUGAUCAUCUGGUCUAUGGUGAAAGAACACCAUCACAAGUUUUAGAAGGUGGUGUAAAAUAGUUGUUGAGAGGAAUUUAUAUUGAUGGUUGUUAAUUAGGAAACAUAUGUGUGCUAGUUAACUUUGAAGAGGAGGUACUUCUGUUAGUUGAUCAUCAUUAGUGUUUAGUUAAAGGUGGAAGAGAAAAAAAGGAACAGAAAGCUAAUCUCCUUUUUUUGAUAGGUAAGGGAAUGUAUAUUAAAAUUAGAGAAAGUAGCCAAGUACACCAGCGUACACAGGAUGUAUACAAUGAGCACCUUAGGCAAGCCCUCCAAAAAGAGCAUUAAAAAAAAAAACCACUCUAUUCCUCAACAAGACCCCACCCACUCUACAAAUCAAACUAGGUCAUUGAGUCUUCCCUUAAAUACAUGCUAACCCAAGAAGAGGGAUUACAAAAAAAUGAAAGUUUUAAUCAUUGGUCAUUGUGUUCCUUAUCUUCAAAAGCUCUUUGAUUUUGUUCCCUCAAGAUUGUUUGAAAAAUGCAAAGUGGAGUAGCGUUCCACACCUUUUUCCUUUUGUUCCCAAGAAAGGAGCCUUGCCAACUUAAGAACAGAACCCUCACUAAAGAAAGGAUCAUCCACGCCACCCUAAAUAAGGAAAACAAACUUUAAAGGAAUGAAGAAGCAAUUGAUUAAUAGACUCCCCCUCAUGCUUACACAGAUAACAUAUAUUUACCAAGGGUUGCCCUCUCUUUUGGAGAUUAUCUAAAGUUAGCAUUCUUCCUUAACUAGCUUCCCAUGCAAAAAAGCUGACUUCGGGUGGUACCAACAGAUUCCAAAUAAUGUUCUUUGGAAAGAUGAUCACCCUCCCCACAUCCAAAACCUCAUAGAAAGAUUUGAUAGAAAACAAUCCCCUCUUAUCGUCUUUCCAUACCACCUUGUCAUUAUCGCCCUUCCUGACCAAAUUCCCUGUCAACCUGGAGAAAAAAGUCUCAAUGAUGUCCAGCUCCCAAUUAUUAAAGUGCCUAGUAAAGCGUAGGGUCCAAUGCCCCAUUCCUCCUGUGUCAUCCCAAUAAUAUGCCACCCAAGCCUCCUUGGAGGCCACCAAAGUAUACAAAAAAGGGAAAGACAAGCACAAGGGCUCCUCCCCACUCCAUUUAUAUCUGUCAAGAACUUUACCCUUCUUCCAUUACCCACUUCAAAGGAGGUUUUACUGAAGAAAAGAUCCCACCCCUUCCUAAUAGCUCUCUAAACACCAACCCCAUACCCACCUCUAACUUCACAAGAAUGCCAACCCACUCCUUCUUUCCCAUAUUUCCUCUCAAUAAUUUGCUUCCACAAAACAUUCCCAUUAGAGACAUAUCUCCAACACCACUUACCAAGAAGGGCCCAAUUCAAGAGAGAGACUUAUAAUUUCCAGCCCCUUCCCCCCCACCCCACCCACCCACACACACACACACACAUUUUUCUCUUCUUUGUGCAAAUAAUCAACCAACUAACAAAAUGAGGCUUUCUCCAAAGCCCCACCUCCCCAGAGAAAGUCCCUUUAAAUCUUCCUUAAUUUCAAUCUAACCCUUCUAGGGAUGACAAACAAAGACAUAAUAUUGGCAAAUUCGAUAAAGUACUUCUAAUCAAAGUAAAUCUCCCCCCUUUAGAAAUGUAUUGUCUUUUCCAUAACGACAAUUUUCUGCGAAACUUUUCUUCCACAACAUCCCAUACUGUUUCAGAUCUACAAGAGGCUCCUAAAGGUAAUCAUAAGUGGAAGGGAGUUUCCUACUUAUAUAUAAAAAAAAAAAAAAGUGAAGGGAGUUUCCCCACCUUGUAGCCCAAUUCUGUAGCUAGACUUUCUACAUUUGUAACCCUUCCAAUUGGAAUCAAUUCGCUUUUAUCCAGAUUGAUUUGGAGUUUGAUAAUGCCUCAAACCACAUGAGCAACCAAUUCAAAUACCUACUGCUAGGAAUCCUCACAGAAGACCAAAGUAUUGUUUGCAAAUAAGAAAUGGGGCACCACCACCCCUUCUCUCCCUUCACAACUCUCUCACCUUGAAACUAGACAAGUAGCCCCCCUCUUGGGCUCUCUCCAACAAGCAGCUCAAAACCUCUAUAGCAGAAACAAAUAGACAAAAGGGAUAGAGGAUCCCCUUGUCUCAACCCCUUCGAACUCUGAAAGAAACAAGGAGUUCCAUUAACCAACACUGAAAACCUUCUUGUGGAAAUGCACCAUUGAAUCCAUCUAAUCCAUUUAUGGUUAAAAUCCAUUUUUUCCACAACUACAAACAUAAAAGCCCAAUUGACAUCAUGACCGUAUGCUUUUUCUAUGUCCAACUUGCAAAUGACACCACUGGAGCCAACCUUCAAGCUUGAAUUAGUUGCUUCCUUCGCUACAAGGGAUGCAUCUAAAAUCUGUCUCCCCUUUACAAAGGUGUUUUGAAACUUAGAAACCACUUUUUCCAUCACUUUCUUUAAUCUACUUGUUAACACUUUCACCAAAAGUUUAUAAAGACUUCCCCUCAAAUUUAUAGAUCUAAAAUCUUUCAAAUACUCUACACCCUACUUCUUUGGGAUUAAAGCUAAAAAUGUAGCAUUUAAACUUCUUUCAAACUUGUCAUUGGCAAAAAAAUCCGAAAAGAACCCCAUUGGCUCAUCCUUAACGAAAUCCUAACUAAAUUGCCAAAAGGUCAUAGUGUAGCCAUUAGGGCUAGGAGCUUUAUCCCCACUUAAAUCAGAUAAGGCAACACUUCCUCCUUUGAAAAAGCCCCCUCCAAGCCCAAAGCCUCCUGCUAAUCCAAAGUAUUGAAAUAUAUGCCACUAAUGCUUGGCCUCCAAUCACCAGAAUCAGACAAAAGAUGGUGAAAAGCCCGUGUCAUUCCUUGCUUAACUUCAGAUUCCUCUGUAAGCCACUCCCUGUCCACCUCGAUCUUGGUCAAAAAAUUCCUCUACCUAUGAGCAUUAGCCAUUUCGUGGAAAAACUUGGUGUUCUUAUCCCCCUCCUUCAACCAAGUCUCCCUAGACUUUUGCCUCCAUGAAACCUCCUCAAAAAGGGCCCAUUUGUGAAACUCUUCUUUUGCUGCCUGUCUAGAUACCUCCUCCUCCAGCAGUAGAGGAGAUUCCAUCUCUUUAGAGUCCCAGAAUCCCACCUGCUUCAAAGCCAACUCCUUUUGGAUAUCUACAUGACCAAAAACUAACCUCCUUAAUAUUUCUAUUCCUAAGCCAUCGACAAAAUUGAUAACAGAAAGAUUAGCAUUCAUCAUCAUCCCAUUUGAGCACAAGGACAAGGCUUUUCUAAAAACAAAUUUUUCACAAAUAUAACACCUAUUCCUCAAAGGUUCUUCUAUUGCAUUAUUUUCAAAUAGACCAAAAGAUUCAAUAUUUAAGGUUUAAACUACCAUGCAAUUAUCACUCAUAAGAACACCAUGCAAUUAAGCAACACCUCUCUAGGCUAUUGGAGGAGAACCCAUGACACAAAAAAAUGGAGAAAAACAAGUAUCACAAACCGGAAACCCGCGAUGAAUAUGAGCAUGCUCCGCACGCUUAUGAUUUUGUUACAAACCUGGAGUCUUGGCAAAGCCAACCCAAUAAUCUUUGCCUCUUGGUGUACUACUAAAUUAGCCAACACUAGUUAAUGAUCUUUAAAUUGCUCUCUCCAUGAAAACUUGCUCCAAUGGAGCUGACAACUGAAAACUCAUGUUCAGGAAGAAACCAUUCCAUUGCUUCCUAAUGGCUUUUCCACGACCUCAAAACAAUUGGCUACUUUAGUCACCUUUUUUUUUCUUUUUUUUUUUAACCGUGAAUGUCCGGGCCGGCUUACGCACACCUCGACUAAUCCCACGAGGCCCUGAAGUUAACAACCGGGUAAACCUCCAGUGGUCUUAAGGGGACUCGAAUUAGUGACCAUUGCGGAGCAAACCCAAAGCCGGACCAACUGAGCUACCCCUCAGGGUUGGCUUCUUUAGUCACUCUAAAGCUUCGUCUUCUUUGCAUCUCCAUGGAUUUCCUCACAGUUGCCUAUCUCCAUAAACUAUGGUGAUUUACUUCACUGUGAAAAUUUAAAGCCUCUUUCCCAGCAAGGCCUUACUUUUUUUUGAUAGUUAUAUAUAUAUAUUAAUAGGUUUCCCAGCAAGGCCUUGUUGAGAGCCUCAAGACAUCUAAUGCCCAAGUACCCUAUAGCCUUCUCUGAACAGACUGUUUACUGCCUCACCAAAUGAUCUUUUUGUUAAAAUGCAGUCCCUUUGAAUCUUUUUUAAUCUGUCCUUUACCUUCUGAGGAAUUGCUGGAGGCAGCAAAAAGCAUGAUCAUAAACUGGAGAAGAUGCUCUUUCAAAAGGAUAAGUGUACAACCGUUAGUGCAAAUAUUUUUUUCUUCCAUGUAAUUGAACCUCCCCUUAACUGAGGACCAAACAGAGGACUUGAAAGACACACCCAAGGGUAAUCCCAAAUACUUGGCAGGGAGUGUUCAAUCCACGUGGAAGCCCAAUUGCUUAGCCCCUUAACUCUCCCUGCCGGAAUGAAACAGUGGAACCUUUUAUAGUGAUCACAUUUGGCUUCUAUCUAGAUUCUCUGCUUAGUUUUUCUGAUUCAUAUCCUUAGAGCACUUUGGAAUUCUGGAGUUGCUUUGAAUUUUUUGGGGAAUAGUUCGAGGAAGAUUUUAAGUUGUCAGUGAAAGAAAAUGUGUUCUAGAAAAAUAAGCAUAUGUUGUCAUUUUAGGAUUAUUAUAAUCUUGAGGAUUCUGCUUUCUACUGAUGUUUAAGAUUUUUCCAACAUAAGUCCUUGAGGCCUGAUGAGGAAGGCAUUGGGGUAGGGGAUGUUGGAAGGUCUAGGGUUGAGUUCCAGCAAGAACCAGAGAAAAAAAAAGGUUACUUUCCCAAUGUAAUUCAAGAUUUUGCAUAUAGUUGAGGAGAUAUUUGUGGUAUUGGUUAUUCACAAUAGAUUCACUAUUGAAGUAAUAUGGUGGAAAUCCUAGCUAUGUCAGGUUCAAGAUAAGCUAUGCCCUGUGCAAACUAGGAAAAUGAUAUGAAAAAUUCAGAGGAGUUUCUUGCUUUCUUGCUUUUGUGUGGGCUCCCAGCUAAUAGUUUGGGAUUGAAGAAAGUUUUUACCAGCUGAUACAAGCAGUACUAAUUUUCAAAAUGCUUGGUUUAUUGUUAUAAAGUGUAUAAUUAACUAGCAUGAUUUAACAGGAAAGGGAAGCUAAUUUUCUUCCUUUUAUGCAUUAAAACGACUUGGAAUUAUUUGAGUUCUCUUGAUAUGUCAAAGCUGUUUUGGCUGGUUUUGAAUAAAAUUUUUACAGAAAGAGGGAUAAUAAUGGUUUGCAUUUCAUUUAUUUUCCUUCUUUUAUCUUUAAUAAGACUUUUGUGGUUACCUAUGCCUGAGAACUUGCAUUAUAUUUUUUAUUGUUGCUACUGAUUUCUCGAAGUUUUUAUUUUUAAUUUUUGUCUUUUUGUUCUGAUGUGUAUAUUUGAUGACAAUGAAGGGAGAUUGCCAAACAUCUCUCUCUUCC